RNAcentral lists this ribosomal RNA (700 nucleotides) under Streptomyces sp. RNAcentral's name for it is "bacterial SSU rRNA". It matches the Rfam family "Bacterial small subunit ribosomal RNA", at positions 62 to 779 of the family's 1533-position model. Lineage: Bacteria; Bacillati; Actinomycetota; Actinomycetes; Kitasatosporales; Streptomycetaceae. The record is from RNAcentral.
UCGAACGAUGAACCACUUCGGUGGGGAUUAGUGGCGAACGGGUGAGUAACACGUGGGCAAUCUGCCCUGCACUCUGGGACAAGCCCUGGAAACGGGGUCUAAUACCGGAUAUGACCAUCUUGGGCAUCCUUGAUGGUGUAAAGCUCCGGCGGUGCAGGAUGAGCCCGCGGCCUAUCAGCUUGUUGGUGAGGUAAUGGCUCACCAAGGCGACGACGGGUAGCCGGCCUGAGAGGGCGACCGGCCACACUGGGACUGAGACACGGCCCAGACUCCUACGGGAGGCAGCAGUGGGGAAUAUUGCACAAUGGGCGAAAGCCUGAUGCAGCGACGCCGCGUGAGGGAUGACGGCCUUCGGGUUGUAAACCUCUUUCAGCAGGGAAGAAGCGAAAGUGACGGUACCUGCAGAAGAAGCGCCGGCUAACUACGUGCCAGCAGCCGCGGUAAUACGUAGGGCGCGAGCGUUGUCCGGAAUUAUUGGGCGUAAAGAGCUCGUAGGCGGCUUGUCACGUCGGUUGUGAAAGCCCGGGGCUUAACCCCGGGUCUGCAGUCGAUACGGGCAGGCUAGAGUUCGGUAGGGGAGAUCGGAAUUCCUGGUGUAGCGGUGAAAUGCGCAGAUAUCAGGAGGAACACCGGUGGCGAAGGCGGAUCUCUGGGCCGAUACUGACGCUGAGGAGCGAAAGCGUGGGGAGCGAACAGGAUU